This 208-nucleotide ribosomal RNA is filed under the name uncultured bacterium. RNAcentral's name for it is "partial 16S ribosomal RNA". It matches the Rfam family "Bacterial small subunit ribosomal RNA", at positions 28 to 239 of the family's 1533-position model. The record is from RNAcentral.
GACGAACGCUGGCGGCGUGCUUAACACAUGCAAGUCGAGCGGUAAGGCCCUUCGGGUACGACGAGCGGCGAACGGGUGAGUAACACGUGGGUGACCUGCCUCUAGCUCUGGGAUAAGCCUGGGAAACUGGGUCUAAUACCGGAUAUGACUCCACGGCGCAUGUUGUGGGGUGGAAAGCCUUGUGUGGCUAGAGAUGGGCCCGCGGCCU